GUCCAGGGGCGGGAACCCCUGCUAGUGGACAUGGCACCUGCCCGGUAAGCAGAAGGUUGUGGGUUCGAUUCCCGCCCCUGGACA
This is a non-coding RNA of Cordylochernes scorpioides, 84 nucleotides long. The record is from the annotation of a GenBank genome assembly. NCBI's taxonomy places the organism in Eukaryota, Metazoa, Arthropoda, Arachnida, Pseudoscorpiones, Chernetidae.